Molecule: ribosomal RNA, 253 nt
Filed under: uncultured bacterium
Lineage: Bacteria
Description: partial 16S ribosomal RNA
Rfam family: Bacterial small subunit ribosomal RNA
Source: RNAcentral
UACGUAGGGUGCAAGCGUUGUCCGGAAUUAUUGGGCGUAAAGAGCUCGUAGGCGGUUUGUUGCGUCGGCUGUGAAAUCCCGAGGCUCAACCUCGGGUCUGCAGUCGAUACGAGCAAACUAGAGUGUUGCAGGGGAGACUGGAAUUCCUGGUGUAGCGGUGAAAUGCGCAGAUAUCAGGAGGAACACCGGUGGCGAAGGCGGUUCUCUGGGACGGUACUGACGCUGAGACGCGAAAGCGUGGGGAGCGAACAGG